RNAcentral lists this ribosomal RNA (387 nucleotides) under uncultured bacterium SA28. RNAcentral describes it as "partial 16S ribosomal RNA". The record is from RNAcentral.
GCAGGUUCCCCUACGGCUACCUUGUUACGACUUCACCCCAGUCACUGAGCCUACCGUGGCCGGCUGCCUCCUGUUGCCAGGUUAGCGCACCGUCGUCGGGUAAACCCAAUUCCCAUGGUGUGACGGGCGGUGUGUACAAGGCCCGGGAACGGAUUCACCGCGGCAUGCUGAUCCGCGAUUACUAGCGAUUCCGACUUCAUGCAGUCGAGUUGCAGACUGCAAUCCGAACUGAGACGGCUUUUUGAGAUUAGCUCCCCCUUGCGGGAUCGCAACCCACUGUCACCGCCAUUGUAGCACGUGUGUAGCCCAGCCCGUAAGGCGCAUGAGGACUUGACGUCAUCCCCACCUUCCUCCGGCUUGUCACCGGCAGUUUCUUCAGAGUGCCCG